This 442-nucleotide ribosomal RNA is filed under the name uncultured bacterium. RNAcentral's name for it is "partial 16S ribosomal RNA". It matches the Rfam family "Bacterial small subunit ribosomal RNA", at positions 338 to 795 of the family's 1533-position model. The record is from RNAcentral.
CCUACGGGGUGCAGCAGUGGGGGAUAUUGCACAAUGGGGGAAACCCUGAUGCAGCGACGCCGCGUGGGCGAAGAAGUAUUUCGGUAUGUAAAGCCCUAUCAGCAGGGAAGAAGAAAUGACGGUACCUGAGUAAGAAGCACCGGCUAAAUACGUGCCAGCAGCCGCGGUAAUACGUAUGGUGCAAGCGUUAUCCGGAUUUACUGGGUGUAAAGGGAGCGCAGGCGGCACGGCAAGCCUGAUGUGAAAGCCCGCGGCCCAACCGCGGGACUGCAUUGGGAACUACCGGGCUGGAGUGCCGGAGAGGUAGGCGGAAUUCCUAGUGUAGCGGUGAAAUGCGUAGAUAUUAGGAGGAACACCAGUGGCGAAGGCGGCUUACUGGACUGUAACUGACGUUGAGGCUCGAAAGCGUGGGGAGCAAACAGGAUUAGAUACCCCAGUAGUC